Phoenix dactylifera (date palm) is the source of this 81-nucleotide non-coding RNA. NCBI's taxonomy places the organism in Eukaryota, Viridiplantae, Streptophyta, Magnoliopsida, Arecales, Arecaceae. The record is from RefSeq and is a predicted model, not a curated record.
GUUCCCAAUGAUGCGUAUACCAACCAUGCUAAUGCUGAGGUCAUUUGCUGAAGAACUCAUUAUGUUUUUUUUGAGGGAACU